GCUUUCGUGGUGUAAUGGCCAGCACACUCGGUGCGUAUUCGAGAGGUCCGUGGUUCGAGUCCCGGCGAGAACA
Non-coding RNA from Stegodyphus mimosarum, 73 nucleotides. Lineage: Eukaryota; Metazoa; Arthropoda; Arachnida; Araneae; Eresidae. The record is from Rfam.